Molecule: small RNA, 505 nt
Filed under: Histoplasma capsulatum var. duboisii H88
Lineage: Eukaryota; Fungi; Ascomycota; Eurotiomycetes; Onygenales; Ajellomycetaceae
Description: Histoplasma capsulatum H88 hypothetical RNA
Source: RNAcentral
UGUAUGGGCAUUAUAUGUUUAAGAAGUGAGCGGGUACUAGUUACCAUUUCAGUAUCCUCUCACAUUUUUGCUUCACAUUUUUGCUACCGGCGACGGCGCUUGUGGUUCUGCUUCUUGUGGUUUGUUUUAUUACACUGAUUUCCUCGUUGACAUGUUUGGUUUUUGGGGGGGGUUGGAGGGUGUAGGGGGGUGUUUCCGGAGUAGGACUUUCUUCCUCUUUCUCUCCAUCUCUCGUUUUCCCCCUGUGCCUAUUUCUUUUUCCUAAUCCUUCUCACGUUCCAACUAGGAGUUUGUAUCAUUAAGCAGGCAAAUUUCCCUCUGGUGUCUUUUCUAUGAUAAUCUUUGUACUGACAGCUGAAUAUACCUUUUGAGAUACUUCCUUUGUGAGGGCGUUUUUCUUCUUCUUCUUCUUCUUCCUUGAAAGAGAGCAUAUUCUUUCUGUGUAUGUACUCGCACAUAUUUUAAUUGUUACAAAAAAUGAAUAUCAGCAUAAAAUCUUACAUUG